This 95-nucleotide transfer RNA is filed under the name compost metagenome. RNAcentral describes it as "tRNA-Gly". The record is from RNAcentral.
GGAGGAUUGGGGAAGGAGAACAGUUCCAGCUGGCUGCCAUCCGGCAGGCGCAGGUCCAGCUUCCAGGAGUUGCGUUCGCUGCGGAAGUUCUCCGC